GAGGGGGCAGACCGAGGGGCCCUGACUCAAGAUCUGCUGCCGCAGGGCUUCGUGGGUUCGAAUCCCACCCCCCGCA
Molecule: transfer RNA, 76 nt
Filed under: Nitrososphaeria archaeon
Lineage: Archaea; Thermoproteati; Nitrososphaerota; Nitrososphaeria
Description: tRNA-Leu
Source: RNAcentral